UACGUAGGGGGCAAGCGUUGUCCGGAAUCAUUGGGCGUAAAGAGCGCGUAGGCGGAUGUGUCAGUCAGGGGUGAAAUCCCGGAGCUCAACUUCGGAACUGCCUUUGAUACAGCACGUCUUGAGUCCGGAAGAGGUGGGUGGAAUUCCUAGUGUAGAGGUGAAAUUCGUAGAUAUUAGGAAGAACACCGGUGGCGAAGGCGGCCCACUGGUCCGGUACUGACGCUGAGGUGCGAAAGCGUGGGGAGCAAACAGG
This 253-nucleotide ribosomal RNA is filed under the name uncultured bacterium. Its description in RNAcentral is "partial 16S ribosomal RNA". It matches the Rfam family "Bacterial small subunit ribosomal RNA", at positions 524 to 776 of the family's 1533-position model. The record is from RNAcentral.